CGCCUUUUUGCUAUGCGCAGAAUAUAACGAUUCGAACCUGCUGCAGGUUCGAGUCUCACGCAGUGAGACAACGGAGCCGCUUGCGGCGACGGCCCGAAGGGCGAGCAAAGCGAGUCAUCCUGCACGACCCACCA
RNAcentral lists this small RNA (134 nucleotides) under Citrobacter amalonaticus. RNAcentral's name for it is "RtT sRNA". It matches the Rfam family "RtT RNA". From Rfam's summary of the family: This family represents a bacterial cis-regulatory element known as RtT RNA. The exact function of RtT is unknown although it is thought that it may be involved in changing the cellular response in relation to amino acid starvation. The record is from RNAcentral. Lineage: Bacteria; Pseudomonadati; Pseudomonadota; Gammaproteobacteria; Enterobacterales; Enterobacteriaceae.